GCCUCGGAAUGCCAGCCUUGGUCCGGUCGUCUCCGGGGCGCUGGGCUCCUGGAAGUGGGGGCAAGUCCUCGUUGCUGAGGUGGAGUUUUACUGAAGUUGGCGUGAGACCUGGGGACACGCGGGGACGGGCUGACCAGGGGGGAGGCGCCAGGCUGAGCAGCGCUACUUGGCCACACGCUUUCUACAGUGCUGGCUGUGGACAAGUUCUCCUCCCCGCCAGCUCACCCAGGGAGACUCAGCACGCAGAAACGAGCCUUUCCCGUCGGGCAGCGCGGCAGAGCAGCCACUAAGGAUUCUUGUUGACCAGAGCGUCCCUGAGAAGCUACUGUGCGAAGCCCUGCUGACGAAGGGGCAGAGCAGGGCCCUGGUGGGCUUGCAGGGCAGUGAGUCCAGAGGCACCUGCUGAACCCCAGGGUGUGUCCCCAGUGCCUCCCGACACUCGGGGGCCACGGGUGUCCUGUGACAAAAUGCUUCUGCUGGAGAGCCACUGAGUUAGGGUGGAUGCUGGCAAGUUUAGAGGUUUGAAUCUCAGCUCUGUCAAUUUGUAGGGGUGGGGGCAAUCUCAGGCAAACCUUGGUUUCCUGACAAUAACAGGAUGUCGGGAGAAGAAAAUAGACGCUAUGAGACAGAUCAAGCGGAGUAUCUGCCCCACAGUAGGCACUUAAUAAACGUUCACUUCCCCCACAGACGGACUUGCGCCUUCUUCUGGCCACCACGCCAUUGCAUGCGCAUGCCUGAGCCUCCCACCCAUCUUUUUGCUGUCGAGGGUGCAAGAAGAGUGAAUUUACUUCUGGGGCAGCAUUUACUGGAGCCUGGGACAGGCGGGGAGAAAGCAACAAGGAAUAAACUUUUCUGGGGCUCAGGGUGACAUUUUCCAAAGAAAUAACACGGGAGGCUGGUGCCCAACGCCCGUUACUCCUGCCCUGUAACGUCGUGAGUGGAAAAGGCUCUGGGAGCAGGCCUGGGCCCCAGCUCCUAUUUGCAACGUCCUCUUCUCGUUUUUUAUAUCAUUAUAAAUGUUUUAAGUUGAUAGUCAUUACAUAAG
RNAcentral lists this long non-coding RNA (1045 nucleotides) under Dasypus novemcinctus (nine-banded armadillo). RNAcentral's name for it is "lncRNA (ENSDNOG00000052206.1)". Lineage: Eukaryota; Metazoa; Chordata; Mammalia; Cingulata; Dasypodidae. The record is from RNAcentral.